GGUCACUGCAUGGCGCGGUGCCAGCUGGUGCUGGUUAAUUGUUUGGUGGUGCUGCGGGUGAUUAAAACCAGGUGUGUUGGUCAGCGCUCUCCCCCUCUGCUUCUGCUGUGCGGUGCGUCUGGUGUGUUUGGCGUGCACGUCUGUGUCUCCCCAUUGUGUCAUUAAGUGCUGGGAGCGACGGUGAGCCGGAGGGAGCGAGCGGUUCCGGUGGGCAUGUGUUGGGUGCAGUAGAGCUCAGAGUCAUCGGCCACCACGACAAAGUUGCUGCUGUCCUGGCUCGGCUCCAGGUGGACUGAAAAGCUCCAUGCUGUUUGGUCACUGCACGUGUCCACGGCUGCAGUUUUGGUGUGAAGGCAUCACGCCAUCAUCGGUGCCCCCAUCAGAUCCAGUCUGAGUCCAGCCAAGUUUGGCUCACCUGUCUCUUCUUUUGAUUUAAAUCAUUAUUUUCCUUACUUAAUUUAAAUAUUAAAGAUUGUUGUGUUACAAUUCUGGUUGCAUUUGAGUUUAAUAUUUGUUUGCUAAUAGUUUGGAUUAUUUUGUUUAUUGUAUUACGCUGAUUUUGGGUUUGUUUUUUUUUUUUUGUUUUUUUUGCUUUGUUUAAUGUUUGAUUUCCUAGACUAAGUUGGUUUAUAUGGUGUUUCUUUGUCAAUUUUCUUUAACUCCUCAGUUGUAGACCGAAUUUGUUAUUUCUUUUUUUGUGUGUUAUAUGAAUUGUUUCUAUUUUGUAUUGCUUUCUUCCAGGUUUCUUUGGUAUUAAUUGAUCAAUCGCGUAUUUGGGUUUCUGUCUUCUUUUAACCGUAGAUGCCCUCAUGGGUCCCCACACUGUGCUUUGUGUUAAUUUUGUGUUUUUCUCUUGUUUUUCAACAGGUGCUGAGGCCCAAUCGAGUGGCAGCCCUCCCCUGGUGGUGGUGUUUGACACAGGUUUUGUGGUUGCAGUGCACUGGUAGUUUAUCGUAGGAUUUUGUCCUUUUUUUGAGUUCCCUGCCGCUGUGGUAAGCCCCAGUCCUGGUUGGGUCCUUUUUUGUUUGUUGCCAGUGUGGCCCCAUCUGGGCAUAUCUCCCCCCCGCUUUGGUCAGCCAACCCAUUCUCAUACCAGGGUUCAGCAGGAUAACAAAGUCACCUGCAGAUGGAAGGAAACCCAGGGUGGAUACAACAGGGGUUUAAAAAUGAAUUUCAUUGUCGUUUAUGGUGUGAUUGUAUGAUUGGUCGCUGUCUGAGUCGAGUAGUUGCUAUGUUAUUUUUUUUUCUUUUAAAGGUGACAUUAAGUGUUUAACAUGCAUAAACUGAAACUAAAUGAUUAUGAUAUGUUUUGGUGCAGUUCUGCAGUGUGUUGCUGAAGAUCAGAGAUUUUUUUAAAGUUCCCUUUAGUUUAAGUUAAAUAAGUUCCAGAAGAACAAUAGUAUUGUACUAAGUUAUAGUAUGUACUGCUUUUAACCUACAAAUCCAGUUUUCCCAUUUCAUUUCCUCAUAAAUUGCUUUAAAAUGGUUAUAUUUUCAUUUAAAAUCAGAAUCACACAUCCCGUCCAAGAUCAUUCCUGCUCUCCAUUGAAGCCACAUGUUUUUACUGAAUAACUUACUUGACAAAUUUAAAUGAACUUAAAACAAUCAAUAGAUGCUCUCAAAGUUCUUCCUUUUGGUACAGAUAAGCCAUUCUCCGACUGAUGUCUUUAAUUAGCAAACACCAUGAAAAACUGAAAUAAAAUGAAUAUUACAAACAAGAUAUUAUUAGCACCAGAAUGAAUACUACAAACACAAGAUAUUAUUAGCACCAGAAUGAAUACUACAAAACACAAAUAUUAUUAGUGUAAAAUAAAAUUCAACCACAACCAUGCACCUUCUGACCAAAAACGUAGGAGUGGUUACCAUCCUUUUAAAUGUUGCACAGCUACUCUUUAGUAACAAGUCUUUACUGCAUGUAGCUUUCAACAAAACACAUCCUCUUUCUCUGAUUGGUAAUUGAGCAUGUGAGAACAGCACACUGCCCACUCAGUCCUAUUUACAGGCUUGGCCAGUAGGUGUCACCACAAACAGGGGAACCAAUAUACGUUUUCAAAAUACCAUUUACAAUUUAAAAAAGGGAAACAAAAAUCAAAUCAAAUCAAAUCAACUUUAUUUAUAGAGCACUUUUCAUACACGCACGUGCAGCACAAAGUGCUUUACACAAGAAAAACAGAAGCAUAAUAAAGGAUAAAGAAAGCCCCUCGCUCCCACCCCCCAUACUACAUACCUGCACACACACAAGGACAUUCAGAUCUAUGGGGAGCACAUUUUCUGCUACAGCUACACAAUGCACUUUUAUUACAGCAGAUAUUUAUGUAGGUAUGUGUAGAAAAAAAGAUGUCUGCUUGCUCUCUUAUUUUUUGCAUCACACCACUGUCCCAGUAUAUUCUUUGAAUCAGGGUGUCAACCUCUGCAAACACCACAAAAUUACACCACUCCAUCCCUGUUAGGAGCAACUGUCCCUGCACCUGCCAGUAGUAGCUAUGACCCUGCUUCAAUUCCAGGGUGUCAUCUUUCAUUGUCAGAUGUGGAUAAUUCACAUAGCUUUUAAUGUUUGGACAUUUUAUUUCAUUAAAGUUCAGAGCUUUCUGUUGGGUCAAAAACAACACUAUGUGGGGAUGUACCUACCCAUGGAGUGUCAGGGUGUAUAAUGAAGCCACAAGGGUAGUGGUUCACCCUCUUGAGCUUGCAGUACUCUUCAAUGGCAUCAGCUUCCAUUUUGAGACCGCUCUUCAUUGCUGCUGCCUGAUGGACCCCGUUUGGCAACUGGUCUGCCAUCUUUUCUAAGGUGCAUGGUUUAGCAUGGCAUUUUUCCCCAAAAUGUGAGGAGGUGAGUCUGGGAUUUCUCAGUCUAUGUGUUACAGCUAUGAAGACGGCGGACACCAGGGCUUGAGUCUUCAAUGAUGCUGACUUUAUUCUUUACCAAAAACAAUUACAGUCACCAAGCACAUUAACUUGUCCAGGUCACCAAAGCGAGACUUCGCCGCUGCUUCUCCGGUCUUUUCGCGCCAACCCGCAUAACCAUGGCAACCAGAGCAAAAACACCUCUUCUUCGUCGGUUCUGUCCGACCCGUGCUCUCCGGUGCAACCUGGUGGCUAAAACAGAGAACUGCACGCAACCACGUACAGCAUUGAACACAUCACAUAAACAUGUCACUUCACCUCUUCCCUGCAGAACAUGAAAUUAACAGUUGUAAACAAAGAAAUUAUGGGGUCCCCCUUUUAACCAUAACAGUGAAUCGUCACAUAUGCCAGUGCUGGGUAACCUCAAGUGACUUGAAGUGCAAAUGUUGAUGCUCAGUGAAAACAAACGGACAGCAUGAUAUCUCCAGUUUGCAGCCAGCCAAUGGCAAAU
Long non-coding RNA from Acanthopagrus latus (yellowfin seabream), 3355 nucleotides. RefSeq lists it as uncharacterized. The transcript has 3 exons. The record is from RefSeq and is a predicted model, not a curated record. NCBI's taxonomy places the organism in Eukaryota, Metazoa, Chordata, Actinopteri, Spariformes, Sparidae.